Pelobates cultripes (western spadefoot toad) is the source of this 223-nucleotide non-coding RNA. The record is from the annotation of a GenBank genome assembly. Lineage: Eukaryota; Metazoa; Chordata; Amphibia; Anura; Pelobatidae.
CACAAAGUCACUACACACAAAUAUAUACUGGCAGACAUACUGACACACACACAGACAUACAUACACAGACACAUACAUUAACAGAUAUACUGACACACACAAACACAUACACUGACAGAUAUACUAAAACACACAGACACAUACACUGACAGACACAUUGACACACACACACAGGCAUACUGACAUAUACACAGACAGACGUAAUGGCUAAUACAGACAGACA